Molecule: ribosomal RNA, 797 nt
Filed under: Grosmannia penicillata
Lineage: Eukaryota; Fungi; Ascomycota; Sordariomycetes; Ophiostomatales; Ophiostomataceae
Description: eukaryotic LSU rRNA
Rfam family: Eukaryotic large subunit ribosomal RNA (bases 194-797)
Source: RNAcentral
UCCACCCUCACGCGCCCCUUUAGUGCGUGGUGUUGGGGCAUACUGCGGCUGCCGCGAGGCACCGCAGGCCCUGAAACCCAGUGGCGGGCCGGCAGAAGGCUCCGAGCGCAGUAAGCAUCACGCCCUCGCUCCGGACGCCCCUGCUGGCAGCUCGCCCUGCGGCGGAAACGCUUGCAGCAACCAUCUUAAAGGUUGACCUCGGAUCAGGUAGGAUUACCCGCUGAACUUAAGCAUAUCAAUAAGCGGAGGAAAAGAAACCAACAGGGAUUGCCCCAGUAACGGCGAGUGAAGCGGCAACAGCUCAGAUUUGGAAUCUGGCCUUCGGGCCCGAGUUGUAAUCUGGAGAGGAUGCUUCUGGCGCGGUGCCUUCCGAGUUCCCUGGAACGGGACGCCGGAGAGGGUGAGAGCCCCGUACGGUUGGACACCUAGCCUCUGUGAAGCUCCUUCGACGAGUCGAGUAGUUUGGGAAUGCUGCUCAAAAUGGGAGGUAAAUUUCUUCUAAAGCUAAAUAUUGGCCAGAGACCGAUAGCGCACAAGUAGAGUGAUCGAAAGAUGAAAAGCACUUUGAAAAGAGAGUUAAAAAGUACGUGAAAUUGUUGAAAGGGAAGCGCCCGUGGCCAGACUUGCGCUGCGCGGACCACCCAGCGUUCUCGCUGGUGCACUCCGCGCGGCGCAGGCCAGCAUCGGUUUUCCUAGGGGGAUAAAGGUCGCGGGAACGUAGCUCCUCCGGGAGUGUUAUAGCCCGUGGCGUCAUGCCCCUGGGGGGACCGAGGACCGCGCUUCGGCAAGGAUUCGUC